Molecule: non-coding RNA, 147 nt
Filed under: Gorilla gorilla gorilla (western lowland gorilla)
Lineage: Eukaryota; Metazoa; Chordata; Mammalia; Primates; Hominidae
Source: Rfam by way of RNAcentral
GCCAGGCGUGGUGGCGUGCGCCUGUGGUCCCAGCUACUUAGGAGGCUGAGGUGGGAGGAUUACUUGAUCCCAGAAGGUUGAGGCUGCAGUGAGCUUGAUCAAGCCACUGCACUCCAGCCUGGGUGACAGAGCAAGACCCUGUCUCAA